UUGGAGGGCAAGUCUGGUGCCAGCAGCCGCGGUAAUUCCAGCUCCAAUAGCGUAUAUUAAAGUUGUUGCAGUUAAAAAGCCCGUAGUUGAACUUCAGGCCUGGCUGGGUGGUCUGCCUAACGGUAUUGUACUGCUCGGCUGGGUCUUACCUCUUGGUGAGCCAGCAUGCCCUUCACUGGGUGUGUUGGGGAACCAGGACUUUUACCUUGAGAAAAUUAGAGUGUUCAAAGCAGGCAUUUGCUCGAAUACAUUAGCAUGGAAUAAUAGAAUAGGACGUGCGGUUCUAUUUUGUUGGUUUUUAGAGUCGCCGUAAUGAUUAAUAGGGAUAGUUGGGGGCAUUUGUAUUGCGUUGCUAGAGGUGAAAUUCCUGGAUUUACGCAAGACAAACUACUGCGAAAGCAUUUGCCAAGGAUGUUUUCAUUAAUCAAGGACGAAGGUUAGGGGAUCGAAAACGAUCAGAUACCGUUGUAGUCUUAACAGUAAACUAUGCCGACUAGGGAUCGGACGACCUCACAUUGAUGUGUCGUUCGGCGCCUUACGGGAAAC
RNAcentral lists this ribosomal RNA (546 nucleotides) under uncultured Basidiomycota. RNAcentral's name for it is "SSU rRNA". It matches the Rfam family "Eukaryotic small subunit ribosomal RNA", at positions 548 to 1098 of the family's 1831-position model. Lineage: Eukaryota; Fungi; Basidiomycota. The record is from RNAcentral.